RNAcentral lists this long non-coding RNA (784 nucleotides) under Elaeis guineensis (African oil palm). Its description in RNAcentral is "long non-coding RNA (EGUI_LNC027646)". Lineage: Eukaryota; Viridiplantae; Streptophyta; Magnoliopsida; Arecales; Arecaceae. The record is from RNAcentral.
UUGCACCAUGAUAGGUCCCACGCCCAAUCUGUUUUGUGAUGCCAAACAUCCCACGUUUUCUUCCCUAUUUUGCAUGUAAGAAUCCUUAUGAAACUCUCUUUUUCUCAUGUAAAAUCUGGACGAAAUUGAAAGGGUGUUGGCGGCACAAAAUCUCCUAAAGUCCUAAGGUGUUAGGACACUCAUCUCCUAUCCUAAUUCAAACUUCUCUUAUGCCUAUUUAAACAUGGGAUAUAUGGGACGGUUUGUGGGAGAUAAGGAUCAGGUUUGACGUCAAAACAAGAGGGCUUUGUGUGUGAAAAUAAUUAAGGGAGAGAGAAGGAUGGCGUGAAAGGCUAUGGGUGCAAGGUAUGGUUGCUUCAUAUCCCUUCUUUCUUACACAACCAAGGGUUGGUUGUUGGGAUAUUUCCUCUCUUCUCUUUUGUCCUUGUUGGGACAUGGGUGUCUCCUCUCUUCUUUAUCCAAAAGUUGGAUAAAAUUCUUACAUCUCUAUUGUAGAGAUUUGAAGCAUGGAUUUUAAGAAGAAAAGAGAAGAAAGGGUUCUUCUCAUGAUCUCUAGCGUAGAGAUCAAGAUCUUCCUAUGUUCUUCUUCUUCUCUAAGAGUGUCUUGAGAGAAAAAAAGAUUUUCAACUAUCAAGAUGCGAUCUCUGCAAGGGAGCUAGCACCCCGGUGAGAUCAAAAGGCUUCUGAUCAGAUCAGAGUCUCGUGUGGAUAUCCAUAAAGGUCGGAUAUUUGUGCGGCUACAAAGGACCUUCAGAAGACAUCCAUGAUGAUCAGUUCGCGGUAA